RNAcentral lists this small nuclear RNA (152 nucleotides) under Seriola dumerili (greater amberjack). RNAcentral describes it as "U1 spliceosomal RNA (ENSSDUG00000017530.1)". It matches the Rfam family "U1 spliceosomal RNA". From Rfam's summary of the family: U1 is a small nuclear RNA (snRNA) component of the spliceosome (involved in pre-mRNA splicing). Its 5' end forms complementary base pairs with the 5' splice junction, thus defining the 5' donor site of an intron. The record is from RNAcentral. Lineage: Eukaryota; Metazoa; Chordata; Actinopteri; Carangiformes; Carangidae.
AUAAUUAGAUACCAUAAUCAAGAAGGUGCUUCACCCAGGGCGAGGUUCAGCCAUUGCACUUCGGCUGUACUGACCUUUGCGAAUUCCCCAAAUGUGGGAAUCUCGACUGCAUAAUUACUGGUAGUGGGGGACUGCGUCUGCGCUCUCCCCUG